GGUGGCUCAGAGGUAGAGUGUUUGCCUUGCAUGCAAGAGGCCCUGGGUUCAAUUCCUCAGCACCA
Non-coding RNA from Dipodomys ordii (Ord's kangaroo rat), 65 nucleotides. The record is from Rfam. NCBI's taxonomy places the organism in Eukaryota, Metazoa, Chordata, Mammalia, Rodentia, Heteromyidae.